Molecule: transfer RNA, 73 nt
Filed under: Diaphorina citri (Asian citrus psyllid)
Lineage: Eukaryota; Metazoa; Arthropoda; Insecta; Hemiptera; Psyllidae
Rfam family: tRNA
About the family: Transfer RNA (tRNA) molecules are approximately 80 nucleotides in length. Their secondary structure includes four short double-helical elements and three loops (D, anti-codon, and T loops). Further hydrogen bonds mediate the characteristic L-shaped molecular structure. tRNAs have two regions of fundamental functional importance: the anti-codon, which is responsible for specific mRNA codon recognition, and the 3' end, to which the tRNAs corresponding amino acid is attached (by aminoacyl-tRNA synthetases). tRNAs cope with the degeneracy of the genetic code in two manners: having more than one tRNA (with a specific anti-codon) for a particular amino acid; and 'wobble' base-pairing, i.e. permitting non-standard base-pairing at the 3rd anti-codon position.
Source: Rfam by way of RNAcentral
GCCUAGUUAGCUUAGUUGGUAGUGCGUCUGCCUUGUAAGCGCUAGGCCGCGGGUUCGAUUCCCGCCCGAGGAA